ACCUUAGGUAGAGGUGCUAUAUAUAAUUAGUACUUAUUAUGAGUUGGCAAACAUUGAUUAAUAAGGAAAGGUAAUAUGGCCGAAGAUUUAAAUUAUGCAAAAAUUUAUUUCUGGGUAUGCAUAAAAUAUAUGUAUGACUGUCACGAAAGUGGAGAGCUAACAAGGAU
Molecule: non-coding RNA, 167 nt
Filed under: Clostridium saccharoperbutylacetonicum
Lineage: Bacteria; Bacillati; Bacillota; Clostridia; Eubacteriales; Clostridiaceae
Also listed under: 1 other name
Description: Lysine sequence
Rfam family: Lysine riboswitch aptamer
About the family: Riboswitches are metabolite binding domains within certain messenger RNAs that serve as precision sensors for their corresponding targets. Allosteric rearrangement of mRNA structure is mediated by ligand binding, and this results in modulation of gene expression. This family includes riboswitches that sense lysine in a number of genes involved in lysine metabolism, including lysC.
Source: RNAcentral